GACGAAGGGGGCUAGCGUUGUUCGGAAUUACUGGGCGUAAAGCGUGCGUAGACGGUUGCGUAAGUCAGAUGUGAAAGCCCCGGGCUCAACCUGGGAAUUGCAUUUGAGACUGCGUAGCUAGGGUGCGGAAGAGGGAAGCGGAAUUUCCGGUGUAGCGGUGAAAUGCGUAGAUAUCGGAAGGAACACCAGUGGCGAAAGCGGCUUCCUGGUCCAGCACAGACGUUCAGGCACGAAAGCGUGGGGAGCAAACGGG
Molecule: ribosomal RNA, 253 nt
Filed under: uncultured bacterium
Lineage: Bacteria
Description: partial 16S ribosomal RNA
Rfam family: Bacterial small subunit ribosomal RNA
Source: RNAcentral